GCGGCGUGCUAAUACAUGCAAGUCGAACGCUUUGUGGUUCAACUGAUUUGAAGAGCUUGCUCAGAUAUGACGAUGGACAUUGCAAAGAGUGGCGAACGGGUGAGUAACACGUGGGAAACCUACCUCUUAGCAGGGGAUAACAUUUGGAAACAGAUGCUAAUACCGUAUAACAAUGACAACCGCAUGGUUGUUAUUUAAAAGAUGGUUCUGCUAUCACUAAGAGAUGGUCCCGCGGUGCAUUAGCUAGUUGGUAAGGUAAUGGCUUACCAAGGCGAUGAUGCAUAGCCGAGUUGAGAGACUGAUCGGCCACAAUGGGACUGAGACACGGCCCAUACUCCUACGGGAGGCAGCAGUAGGGAAUCUUCCACAAUGGGCGAAAGCCUGAUGGAGCAACGCCGCGUGUGUGAUGAAGGGUUUCGGCUCGUAAAACACUGUUGUAAGAGAAGAAUGACAUUGAGAGUAACUGUUCAAUGUGUGACGGUAUCUUACCAGAAAGGAACGGCUAAAUACGUGCCAGCAGCCGCGGUAAUACGUAUGUUCCAAGCGUUAUCCGGAUUUAUUGGGCGUAAAGCGAGCGCAGACGGUUAUUUAAGUCUGAAGUGAAAGCCCUCAGCUCAACUGAGGAAUUGCUUUGGAAACUGGAUGACUUGAGUGCAGUAGAGGAAAGUGGAACUCCAUGUGUAGCGGUGAAAUGCGUAGAUAUAUGGAAGAACACCAGUGGCGAAGGCGGCUUUCUGGACUGUAACUGACGUUGAGGCUCGAAAGUGUGGGUAGCAAACAGGAUUAGAUACCCUGGUAGUCCACACCGUAAACGAUGAGUGCUAGGUGUUUGAGGGUUUCCGCCCUUAAGUGCCGCAGCUAACGCAUUAAGCACUCCGCCUGGGGAGUACGACCGCAAGGUUGAAACUCAAAGGAAUUGACGGGGACCCGCACAAGCGGUGGAGCAUGUGGUUUAAUUCGAAGCAACGCGAAGAACCUUACCAGGUCUUGACAUCCCUUGACAACUCCAGAGAUGGAGUGUUCCCUUCGGGGACAAGGUGACAGGUGGUGCAUGGUUGUCGUCAGCUCGUGUCGUGAGAUGUUGGGUUAAGUCCCGCAACGAGCGCAACCCUUAUUACUAGUUGCCAGCAUUCAGUUGGGCACUCUAGUGAGACUGCCGGUGACAAACCGGAGGAAGGUGGGGAUGACGUCAAAUCAUCAUGCCCCUUAUGACCUGGGCUACACACGUGCUACAAUGGCGUAUACAACGAGUUGCCAACCCGCGAGGGUGAGCUAAUCUCUUAAAGUACGUCUCAGUUCGGAUUGUAGGCUGCAACUCGCCUACAUGAAGUCGGAAUCGCUAGUAAUCGCGGAUCAGCACGCCGCGGUGAAUACGUUCCCGGGUCUUGUACACACCGCCCGUCACACCAUGAGAGUUUGUAACACCCAAAGCCGGUGGGGUAACCUUCGGGAGCCAGCCGUCUAAGUGGGACAGAUGAUUAGG
RNAcentral lists this ribosomal RNA (1483 nucleotides) under Weissella confusa. RNAcentral's name for it is "bacterial SSU rRNA". It matches the Rfam family "Bacterial small subunit ribosomal RNA". The record is from RNAcentral. Lineage: Bacteria; Bacillati; Bacillota; Bacilli; Lactobacillales; Lactobacillaceae.